GAUGAACGCUGGCGGCGUGCCUAAUACAUGCAAGUCGAGCGAACAGACGAGGAGCUUGCUCCUCUGACGUUAGCGGCGGACGGGUGAGUAACACGUGGAUAACCUACCUAUAAGACUGGGAUAACUUCGGGAAACCGGAGCUAAUAUCGGAUAAUAUAUUGAACCGCAUGGUUCAAUAGUGAAAGACGGUUUUGCUGUCACUUAUAGACGGAUCCGCGCCGCAUUAGCUAGUUGGUAAGGUAACGGCUUACCAAGGCGACGAUGCGUAGCCGACCUGAGAGGGUGAUCGGCCACACUGGAACUGAGACACGGUCCAGACUCCUACGGGAGGCAGCAGUAGGGAAUCUUCCGCAAUGGGCGAAAGCCUGACGGAGCAACGCCGCGUGAGUGAUGAAGGUCUUCGGAUCGUAAAACUCUGUUAUUAGGGAAGAACAAAUGUGUAAGUAACUAUGCACGUCUUGACGGUACCUAAUCAGAAAGCCACGGCUAACUACGUG
RNAcentral lists this ribosomal RNA (497 nucleotides) under uncultured bacterium. RNAcentral describes it as "partial 16S ribosomal RNA". It matches the Rfam family "Bacterial small subunit ribosomal RNA", at positions 28 to 507 of the family's 1533-position model. The record is from RNAcentral.